RNAcentral lists this transfer RNA (72 nucleotides) under Candidatus Diapherotrites archaeon CG10_big_fil_rev_8_21_14_0_10_31_34. RNAcentral describes it as "tRNA-Thr". It matches the Rfam family "tRNA". Rfam says of the family: Transfer RNA (tRNA) molecules are approximately 80 nucleotides in length. The record is from RNAcentral. Lineage: Archaea; Nanobdellati; Candidatus Iainarchaeota.
GCCUCUGUGGCUCAGUGGUAGAGCGUGUCCUUGGUAAGGACAAGGUCGCGAGUUCAAUUCUCGCCAGAGGCU